AAACCACCCCCUAAGUUUUGCAACUGUAGCAGUUUUGACCCCAAGAUCAAUUUUUUAUAAAAAAAAUUACACGUGGCACCUCACUUAGGGUGCCACGUCAGCGUAGACAGAGUCAAAAUUGACCUUGAGGGACAAAACUGCCACAAAUGCAAAACUUAGGGGGUGGUUU
This 169-nucleotide microRNA precursor is filed under the name Medicago truncatula (barrel medic). RNAcentral's name for it is "MIR2619 microRNA precursor family". It matches the Rfam family "MIR2619 microRNA precursor family". The record is from Rfam by way of RNAcentral. Lineage: Eukaryota; Viridiplantae; Streptophyta; Magnoliopsida; Fabales; Fabaceae.